Non-coding RNA from Odocoileus virginianus texanus, 1255 nucleotides. NCBI's taxonomy places the organism in Eukaryota, Metazoa, Chordata, Mammalia, Artiodactyla, Cervidae. The record is from RefSeq and is a predicted model, not a curated record.
ACAGAUUCCAUACAAAUAUAAUUUCAGAAGGGAAUUAUAUUUUCAAAAUACCAAAGAGUAAAAUUCUUGCAAAUUAAGAUGGUUUUGUGUAUGAAUAAGCAAUGCUUUUAGGUGAUUAAAUCCUCAGUUCAAAGCACUGGCACUGAUUAACGGUUUCUGUUGGGUACUAUUUACAAGAAAUCACCUCAGCAGGGUGCCCAUGUCCAGUUUCAUAAUCACAUAGUACACCCGCCCCACAGGAUUACGUUCCGGGCAAGUUUGAAUGUUAAGUUGAAUUUCAUUCUCUUCAGGAAGUGACUUUUACUCAAGAUUGAAUACAGCUGUUAGUACAGACCACUGUUUCUUCCACUUCUAUGAGAACUGGAAGAAAACACCAUUUUAAGAAUUGCAAAUUCACUUUCAUUAUUCCAGAUCCGUGCAACUACAUCGGAGGGGCUUCUUUGGUUCCUGAUAGUUGAAUUAAAUUUUUAUAUAUAUUCAAAAGAAAACAUACUGGAUGGUUGAAAGAUGGCUAUAAGACUUUCCAAGUACUUUUGUAGCCUAAAUAUUUUUUAUAAUCAAAGGAUCAGUUUGUUUGUAACAGAUUUAGUGCUGGUUUUUUGUUUCAAAAAUCAAUGUUAUCCUAACACUUGAUUUUUUUUUCUUAAAUUCCACUGUCUCAUACAACUUGGUGUUCUCUUUAUAUUCACAGAAAUGAAGUCUGGCAAAUCAAGUGGGGCCUCAACAGAGGAAAUGCUGCCAGCUAAAACACCGGAUGUAAUCGAGACCACAAGAGACGCGUACUUGGUUAUACACAUCGAGCUGAAAAGAGGAUGAAGAACCAAAUCUUCCACACAUGACCCAUGAAUCCUUGCAAGAGUUGAUGCCUGUCUACCCCUCCAGCACCGUUCUCUUCCCACCCACUGUGUUUCAGCCCAAAGGGAUGCAAACUUGGAUGUACACCAGAUCCAUUUAGGGGCAGUAUUCAAGUGGCCUGAAAGCAUACUGUGUGGUGAGAAAUACCAAUCUGUUCUGUGCCAUUUAUCACAGAUAACAGGUAAGUAGACACUAAAGCAUUUGUGCUUCAGACUUUCUAAGUUCACAACAAGCCAAGUUCUACAGAGCAAUAGCCAGCACACGACUCCUGUCCUCUACUCCUUCUCAUGUCUUUUGUCCAGGCAUCUCAAGGUAGCAGCCCUGAAGAGACCUUUUUUAACCUAUAAUUUAACAUCUCACACCAAUCAGAUUGGGAUAGGAAGUGUUAGUCACUCAGUCA